GUGAGUGAUGAAGGCCUUCGGGUUGUAAAGCUCUUUUGGAGGGACGAUAAUGACCGUACCUGGAGAAUAAGCUGCGGCUAACUCCGUGCCAGCAACCGCGGUAAUACUUAGUGCGCUAGCGUUGUUCGGAAUUACUGGGCGUAAAGUUUGCGUAAGUUAGUUUUCAAGUCGGGUGUGAAAGCCCCCGGCUCAACCCCGAAACUGCCUUUGAAACUAAACGACUAAAAUCUUGGAGAGGUCGGUGGAAUUCCGAGUGUAGAGGUGAAAUUCAUAUAUAUUUGGAAGAACAACAGUGGCGAAGGCGACUAACUGGACCAUUACUGACGCUGAGGUCCGAAAGCGUGGGGAGCAAACAGGAUUAAAUACCCUGGUAGUCCACGCCAUAAACGAUGAUGACUAUCUGUCCCGAAAUUUGUUGCUCGGUGGGCGAGCUUAACCCAUUAACUUACCCCCCGGGGAAGUCCGGUCCCACGAUCACAGUGGAAAGAAAUUCACGGGAUUAACACUCAAAGGAAUUGACGG
This 522-nucleotide ribosomal RNA is filed under the name uncultured Sphingomonadales bacterium. Its description in RNAcentral is "bacterial SSU rRNA". It matches the Rfam family "Bacterial small subunit ribosomal RNA", at positions 401 to 916 of the family's 1533-position model. The record is from RNAcentral. Lineage: Bacteria; Pseudomonadati; Pseudomonadota; Alphaproteobacteria; Sphingomonadales.